This 124-nucleotide ribosomal RNA is filed under the name Castor canadensis (American beaver). The record is from RNAcentral. Lineage: Eukaryota; Metazoa; Chordata; Mammalia; Rodentia; Castoridae.
GUCUAUGGCCACACCACCUUGAAUGUGGAAGCUAAGCAGGGUAAGCAGGGUUGGGCCUGGUUAGUACUUGGACAGGAGAAAGAUCUUCAGAGGAGACUGCUCAGAGACAAGGAGUUUGUAGGUA